GAAUGUGCUCGCUCCAAAUGUCAAGCAAACAAGGAUUCGUAUAUAAAUUUAAUUAAUUAAUUAAUUUCAAUUAGGUUAUAUUAAUUACAUCUUAAUGACAACUAUAAACUUAUAGAAAAACAGGUAAUAUAUUGGGGAAAAAAAACAAAUUACAUUCUACAGACAGCUCUCUAUGUUUAUAUAAGUAAAUAAAAACAUUGUAAAAAUAUGUACAUCAAGUAUAUCCCAAUUUAUCGAAUUUACCUACAUCCAAAAAAAUUAAAUGAUGAAAAACAUCAUACACAACCAUGGCCACCACCGUCGCAAGUGCAACCACCGUUGCCGGAGAUAAUAUCACCACCUUGAUGCGGUUUGGUGCUUAGGCAACAACAUAGAAGAGCCACCAGCAACAUGAAUCCCCAUACUGAAGCCAAAGCUUGUACCCAACUCAAGUAUUUCUCCAUUCACUUUUUCUCCUACGUCUGAUUUUGAUCUUCAGCUUCAUUCAUUAUAUAUAAUAUAUAUACCAGAAUUAAUUAUUAAUAAUAUGAUAGAUCUUUACUCUUUAGGGAAAAGAGAAUAAUGGGAUCAUUUUGGUGAGAUAUGGUGUGGCACAUGCUGUGAGCUUGAAAGAGUGCAAAACAACAAGGGGCCAACCUGGGAUUUUUAUGGUCACGCCUUAGCGGAGCUAAUGCUCUUCCACCUCUUGUAAUCCUUUAAAGGCUAAAUCAAAGAGUAAUAAAUUAUUAUUUUAUGUGGCAUAAAUGCUUCCGAAUCUUUUAGUUGUUGUUUUUAUAAAGAUAAUUGUCAAUUGUCACUUUGAAGACUAAGUGUUACAAAAAUAUAAAAUAAAAAGGUUUAAUAUUUU
RNAcentral lists this long non-coding RNA (847 nucleotides) under Lathyrus oleraceus (garden pea). RNAcentral's name for it is "Pisum sativum (pea) long non-coding RNA (PSAT_LNC010860)". The record is from RNAcentral. Lineage: Eukaryota; Viridiplantae; Streptophyta; Magnoliopsida; Fabales; Fabaceae.